AGUGAACGCUGGCGGUAGGCCUAACACAUGCAAGUCGAACGGCAGCACAGUAAGAGCUUGCUCUUACGGGUGGCGAGUGGCGGACGGGUGAGGAAUACAUCGGAAUCUACUUUUUCGUGGGGGAUAACGUAGGGAAACUUACGCUAAUACCGCAUACGACCUACGGGUGAAAGCAGGGGAUCUUCGGACCUUGCGCGAUUGAAUGAGCCGAUGUCGGAUUAGCUAGUUGGCGGGGUAAAGGCCCACCAAGGCGACGAUCCGUGGCUGGUCUGAGAGGAUGAUCAGCCACACUGGAACUGAGACACGGUCCAGACUCCUACGGGAGGCAGCAGUGGGGAAUAUUGGACAAUGGGCGCAAGCCUGAUCCAGCCAUACCGCGUGGGUGAAGAAGGCCUUCGGGUUGUAAAGCCCUUUUGUUGGGUAAGAAAAGCAGCAGGUUAAUACCCCGCUGUUCUGACGGUACCCAAAGAAUAAGCACCGGCUAACUUCGU
Molecule: ribosomal RNA, 491 nt
Filed under: uncultured bacterium
Lineage: Bacteria
Description: partial 16S ribosomal RNA
Rfam family: Bacterial small subunit ribosomal RNA
Source: RNAcentral